Molecule: ribosomal RNA, 429 nt
Filed under: Gemmatimonadota bacterium
Lineage: Bacteria; Pseudomonadati; Gemmatimonadota
Description: Gemmatimonadetes bacterium partial 16S ribosomal RNA
Rfam family: Bacterial small subunit ribosomal RNA
Source: RNAcentral
UAGGGAAUCUUCGGCAAUGGACGAAAGUCUUACCGAGCAACGCCGCGUGAGUGAAGAAGGUUUUCGGAUCGUUAAACUCUGUUGUUAGAGAAGAACAAGGACGUUAGUAACUGAACGUCCCCUGACGGUAUCCAACCAGAAAGCCACGGCUAACUACGUGCCAGCAGCCGCGGUAAUACGUAGGUGGCAAGCGUUGUCCGGAUUUAUUGGGCGUAAAGCGAGCGCAGGCGGUUUCUUAAGUCGGAUGUGAAAGCCCCCGGCUCAACCGGGGAGGGUCAUUGGAAACUGGGAGACUUGAGUGCAGAAGAGGAGGGGGAAAUUACAUGUGUAGCGGUGAAAUGCGUAGAUAGAUGGAGGAAAACCAGUGGAUAGGGCGGCACUAUGGACUGUAACUGACGCUAAGGCUCAAAAGCGUGGGGAGCAAACAGG